GAAAAACAAGUUUCUCAAUCUCAGGUACUAUCACAUCAUGUGCUUUUGCUUUUCAGUAUGCAUUGACCUUUUGGAUCACCCAAAUGGCAAUCUUCUAAUGUAGCAUGAUGCACUAUUCUGGUGGAUAUGAUGGGCAUCAUGAAUUUCUCUGUGGUGCAUACACAUAUAUAUUCUUAAGUCCUUUGUUUAUAAUUCUUAAAUGUUGGUUGGAAAUUCUUUUUUAGGCUGAUG
This 231-nucleotide unclassified non-coding RNA is filed under the name Hevea brasiliensis (rubber tree). Lineage: Eukaryota; Viridiplantae; Streptophyta; Magnoliopsida; Malpighiales; Euphorbiaceae. The record is from RNAcentral.